This 212-nucleotide ribosomal RNA is filed under the name uncultured bacterium. RNAcentral's name for it is "partial 16S ribosomal RNA". It matches the Rfam family "Bacterial small subunit ribosomal RNA", at positions 524 to 734 of the family's 1533-position model. The record is from RNAcentral.
UACGAAGGGGGCUAGCGUUGCUCGGAAUCACUGGGCGUAAAGGGUGCGUAGGCGGGUCUUUAAGUCAGAGGUGAAAUCCUGGAGCUCAACUCCAGAACUGCCUUUGAUACUGAAGAUCUUGAGUUCGGGAGAGGUGAGUGGAACUGGCGGGUGUAGAGGUGAAAUUCGUAGAGUAUUCGAAGAACACCAGUGGCGAAGGCGGCUCACUGGCC